Molecule: non-coding RNA, 700 nt
Organism: Tachysurus vachellii
Lineage: Eukaryota; Metazoa; Chordata; Actinopteri; Siluriformes; Bagridae
Source: the annotation of a RefSeq genome assembly
AUUGGUGGCCCAUGCUUCAGUGCUCUGUGAGUGUUUAUAGCCCUGUGACUUUAACACUUCAUGACUGAGAGCUGCUGCUCAGCAACUUCACCCACAGCAACCAUGACUUUGAUCAGCGUCUUCAUCUGCACACUGGCCCUCUGGACUCAAGGAUCCAGAGGUCAGGUGACUGUGACUCAGACUCCUUCAGUGCAAACUGUUGCUCCAGGAAACACAGUCACCAUCAACUGUAAAACCAGUAGCAGAGUAGAAUAUGGUAACCAUCUCGCCUGGUACCUGCAGAAACCUGGAGAAGCUCCUAAACUCCUGAUCUACUAUGCUACUAGCAGACAGUCAGGGAUUCCAGAUCGUUUCAGUGGCAGUGGAUCUAAUACUGACUUCACUCUGACCAUCAGUGGAGUCCAGACUGAAGAUACAGGAGAUUACUACUGUCAGAGUUACCAUGAGAUCAGCAGUAACCCAGUGUUCACACAGUGUUAGAGCGUCGUACAAAAACCUCGGUCAGUGAGACUGCACAGAGAAACACUGCUGCAGCUGGGAGUGACUGCAGGUGCUGAGGGGGAGGAUGUGAUACAGCACAAUGACACACACUGUGGACCAGAGAAAACACACCACACUAACUCACUAAUGCACACACACACACACACACACACACACACACACACACACACACACACACACACACACACACACACACACA